UUGCUUCAGCAGCACAUAUACUAAAAUAGGAACAAUGCAGAGAGGAUUAACAUGGCCCCUGUACAAGGAUGAGAGAAUCUUGAAAGUAGCAAGAGAGAAGUGA
Zalophus californianus (California sea lion) is the source of this 103-nucleotide small nuclear RNA. The record is from Ensembl. Lineage: Eukaryota; Metazoa; Chordata; Mammalia; Carnivora; Otariidae.